RNAcentral lists this ribosomal RNA (253 nucleotides) under uncultured bacterium. Its description in RNAcentral is "partial 16S ribosomal RNA". It matches the Rfam family "Bacterial small subunit ribosomal RNA", at positions 524 to 776 of the family's 1533-position model. The record is from RNAcentral.
UACGUAGGGUGCGAGCGUUGUCCGGAAUUAUUGGGCGUAAAGAGCUUGUAGGCGGUUUGUCGCGUCUGCUGUGAAAAUCCGGGGCUCAACCCCGGACUUGCAGUGGGUACGGGCAGGCUAGAGUGUGGUAGGGGAGACUGGAAUUCCUGGUGUAGCGGUGGAAUGCGCAGAUAUCAGGAGGAACACCGAUGGCGAAGGCAGGUCUCUGGGCCACUACUGAUGCUGAGAAGCGAAAGCAUGGGGAGCGAACAGG